UGGGGAAUAUUGGACAAUGGGGGAAACCCUGAUCCAGCGACGCCGCGUGGGUGAAGAAGGCCUGCGGGUUGUAAAGCCCUUUCGGUUGGGAAGAACAGUAUUGACCUAACACGUCAGUACCUUGACGUAACCAACAAAAGAAGCACCGGCUAACUCUGUUCCAGCAGCCGCGGUAAUACAGAGGGUGCGAGCGUUGUCCGGAAUCACUGGGCGUAAAGGGCGCGUAGGUGGUGGCUUAAGCGUGCGGUGAAAGCUCGGAGCUCAACUCCGAGUCGGCCGUGCGAACUGGGCUCACUGGAGCAUAGUAGAGGCAGGUGGAAUUCCGGGUGUAGCGGUGGAAUGCGUAGAGAUCCGGAAGAACACCGGUGGCGAAGGCGGCCUGCUGGGCUAUGGCUGACACUGAGGCGCGACAGCGUGGGGAGCAAAC
This 427-nucleotide ribosomal RNA is filed under the name uncultured bacterium. RNAcentral describes it as "bacterial SSU rRNA". It matches the Rfam family "Bacterial small subunit ribosomal RNA", at positions 355 to 773 of the family's 1533-position model. The record is from RNAcentral.